CCACGCUUGAGGUCAGCCAGGUCUCUGGGGAGGACGCAUGAGAUGUAGAUGGACAAAAUAAUGAAUUCUACUGAGCACAUUCUGAUUUGAUCUGACUUAUUCAAGAGCAGGUGCAAAAGAAGAAAAAUUGAAAAGUAGGAAUCAGCCAAUCCUACGACUUCUCCCACCUCAGGGUCAAGAGCAAAGCUAUUUCCGGCAGGAUGCAAAGGAUGGAUACAAGAGGAGGAGGUGACAUGGCCUUGAAUACUGUUGCUUGAAGUUUGCCAGAAUCAGCAAAGCAUUGCUUCAGAGGGCAGAAAUUCUGAACUGAGUGGAAAUAUAGCACAUUGCUGCCGAUGGGGACCUGCUCUCUCCCCCUAUGAUCGCUGAUCUUUC
Molecule: long non-coding RNA, 375 nt
Organism: Heterocephalus glaber (naked mole-rat)
Lineage: Eukaryota; Metazoa; Chordata; Mammalia; Rodentia; Bathyergidae
Source: Ensembl